Molecule: long non-coding RNA, 522 nt
Filed under: Gossypium raimondii (Peruvian cotton)
Lineage: Eukaryota; Viridiplantae; Streptophyta; Magnoliopsida; Malvales; Malvaceae
Description: long non-coding RNA (GRAI_LNC009746)
Source: RNAcentral
AUGAAUGUAGUUGUAAUGAUUGAACAAAUUUUAAAAAUCUAAUUUCCAAUUUCAACAUUUCCUUUUCUUCUCUAUUUCCGACUAUAACUUUCUUUACAGAAAAAAAUAUAAUGUAAAACGAAAUACAUAAUCCUAAAAAUAAAAUAUGUUGUGUUUUUAUACGGUAUGAAGGACAUCACCGACGGCCUCCGCCGGAGAAAAGGCCAAGAACAUGAGAGCCGCCAUGAUUCCUACGGGAAAGAAGAGAAGCAUCAAUGGCGGAGGAGGUAACGGCGGCAACAUCAACGGAAGAACCACCAUAGACGCCGCCAACGCCAGCAGUAGUAGAAAUCCCCCUACGCCAAAUCCAAAUGGCCCAAAAUACUUUGACAUCGUACGAUUGCUUUCCUCUAAUCUCAUUACCCUCAACACUCUUUAUCAUUUCUCGCCGGAAUCGGCGGUAAAUCAAAUAUGAAUUCGAUCGGAAGGAAUUAUAACAUGAAAGGAUGAUUAAGUGAAAAGGGUUGGGGUUUUAGCUUUAGG